GCUUGUCUCAAAGAUUAAGCCAUGCAUGUCUAAGUACAAGCCUCAGUAAGGUGAAACCGCGAAUGGCUCAUUAAAUCACACCUAAUCUACUGGAAAGUUACUAGUUACUUGGAUAACUGAGGUAAUUCUUGAGCUAAUACAUGCGAAAAAUCUCGACUCACGGAGAGAUGCUUUUAUUAGACCAAAACCAAUCGGGCUUCGGCCUGAUCACUUGGUGACUCUGAAUAACUGAGCUGAUCGCAUGGUCUUUGUACCGGCGACGCAUCUUUCAAGUGUCUGCCUUAUCAACUUUCGAUGGUAGUUUAUGUGCCUACCAUGGUUGUUACGGGUAACGGAGAAUAAGGGUUCGACUCCGGAGAGGGAGCCUGAGAAACGGCUACCACAUCCAAGGAAGGCAGCAGG
This 402-nucleotide ribosomal RNA is filed under the name Plectus minimus. RNAcentral's name for it is "partial small subunit ribosomal RNA". It matches the Rfam family "Eukaryotic small subunit ribosomal RNA", at positions 30 to 432 of the family's 1831-position model. Lineage: Eukaryota; Metazoa; Nematoda; Chromadorea; Plectida; Plectidae. The record is from RNAcentral.